GUCAAAAACAGAUUUAAAACCACGGGCUAACACNGGGAANCCCACUUGAAAUACACCCNCAAAGUUAUGGAAAAUGGGGUAAAAAUUCAACCCGACCAACUAAAAUGGUAAAAAAUUGGGGGGAAAACCGAAGGGGGAAAGACGCCCCUUGGNCCAAAACUUAUCGUAAUGACCAGAAAGGGUGGGGACAAACGAGAAUUAAAUACCCCUGGUAGUCCCCCCCCCUAAAAAAGUUAAAUAGGUUGUCGGGUGUUAAUUAACCUGGUAACGAAAAUAACGCGUGCAAUAGCCCCCCUGGGGAGUACGGUCGCAAGAUAAGACUCAAAGGAAUGNUGGGGACCCGCACAAGCGGUGGAUGAUGUGGANAAAUUCGAUCAACGCGAAAACCUUACAUACCCUUGAGAUGUACGAACCAUGAUGAGAGGUGAGGGUUCCGAAAGGGAGACGUAACACAUGUGUUGCAUAGCCGUAGUCAGCUCGUGUCAUGAGAUGUUGGGUUAAGUAACGCAACGAGCGCAACCCUUGUACCUAGGUUCUACGCAAGAGCACUCUAGGGAGACUGCCGGUGACAAACCGGAGGAAGGUGGGGAUGACCUCAAGUCCUCAUGGGCCUUAUGGGUAGUGCUUCACACGUCAUACAAUGGUCGGAAUAGAGGGUUACCAAGCAGCGAGGUGGAGCCAAUCCCAGAAAACCGAUCGUAGUCCGGAUCGCAGUCUGCAACUCGAAUGCGUGAAGCUGGAAUCGCUAGUAAUAGCGGAUCAGCAUGACGCCUCGCAUACGUUACCGAGUGUUGUACAAAGAUAACUUCACACAAUUAGAGUGGUAAUAAGUAAAGUCGGAACAUGUAAACUAAAAAUAAGGUAAGUCCACAUCUCAUCUCUGGCAAAUAUG
RNAcentral lists this ribosomal RNA (892 nucleotides) under uncultured Burkholderia sp. RNAcentral describes it as "bacterial SSU rRNA". It matches the Rfam family "Bacterial small subunit ribosomal RNA", at positions 583 to 1533 of the family's 1533-position model. Lineage: Bacteria; Pseudomonadati; Pseudomonadota; Betaproteobacteria; Burkholderiales; Burkholderiaceae. The record is from RNAcentral.